GAUGAACGCUGGCGGCGUGCCUAAUACAUGCAAGUCGAGCGAACGGACGAGAAGCUUGCUUCUCUGAUGUUAGCGGCGGACGGGUGAGUAACACGUGGAUAACCUACCUAUAAGACUGGGAUAACUUCGGGAAACCGGAGCUAAUACCGGAUAAUAUUUUGAACCGCAUGGUUCAAAAGUGAAAGACGGUCUUGCUGUCACUUAUAGAUGGAUCCGCGCUGCAUUAGCUAGUUGGUAAGGUAACGGCUUACCAAGGCAACGAUGCAUAGCCGACCUGAGAGGGUGAUCGGCCACACUGGAAAUGAAACACGGUCCAGACUCCUACGGGAGGCAGCAGUAGGGAAUCUUCCGCAAUGGGCGAAAGCCUGACGGAGCAACGCCGCGUGAGUGAUGAAGGUCUUCGGAUCGUAAAACUCUGUUAUUAGGGAAGAACAUAUGUGUAAGUAACUGUGCACAUCUUGACGGUACCUAAUCAGAAAGCCACGGCUAACUACGUG
RNAcentral lists this ribosomal RNA (497 nucleotides) under uncultured bacterium. Its description in RNAcentral is "partial 16S ribosomal RNA". It matches the Rfam family "Bacterial small subunit ribosomal RNA", at positions 28 to 507 of the family's 1533-position model. The record is from RNAcentral.